GGGGAUAUAGCUCAAUUGGUACAGUGCUUGCCUAGUAUGCAUAAGGCCCUGGGUUCAAUCCCCAGCACCA
RNAcentral lists this transfer RNA (70 nucleotides) under Urocitellus parryii (Arctic ground squirrel). RNAcentral describes it as "Spermophilus parryii (Arctic ground squirrel) tRNA". It matches the Rfam family "tRNA". From Rfam's summary of the family: Transfer RNA (tRNA) molecules are approximately 80 nucleotides in length. Their secondary structure includes four short double-helical elements and three loops (D, anti-codon, and T loops). Further hydrogen bonds mediate the characteristic L-shaped molecular structure. tRNAs have two regions of fundamental functional importance: the anti-codon, which is responsible for specific mRNA codon recognition, and the 3' end, to which the tRNAs corresponding amino acid is attached (by aminoacyl-tRNA synthetases). tRNAs cope with the degeneracy of the genetic code in two manners: having more than one tRNA (with a specific anti-codon) for a particular amino acid; and 'wobble' base-pairing, i.e. permitting non-standard base-pairing at the 3rd anti-codon position. Lineage: Eukaryota; Metazoa; Chordata; Mammalia; Rodentia; Sciuridae. The record is from Rfam by way of RNAcentral. RNAcentral also lists the same sequence under 1 other name.